CGUAGGUGGCAAGCGUUGUUCGGAAUUAUUGGGCGUAAAGGGCGCGUAGGCGGUUUGUUAAGUCGGCUGUGAAAGCCCGGGGCUCAACCCCGGAGGGUCAGCCGAUACUGGCAGACUAGAGUACGGAAGAGGUAGCUGGGAUUCCCGGUGUAGCGGUGAAAUGCGUAGAUAUCGGGAGGAACACCUGAGGCGAAGGCGGGCUACUGGGCCGAUACUGACGCUGAUGCGCGAAAGCCAGGGGAGCGAACGGGAUUAGAUACCCCGGUAGUCCUGGCCCUAAACUAUGGACACUUGGUGUGUCGGGUAUUCCAGUCCCGAUGUGCCGGAGCUAACGCGUUAAGUGUCCCGCCUGGGGAGUACGGUCGCAAGGCUG
Molecule: ribosomal RNA, 373 nt
Filed under: uncultured organism
Description: bacterial SSU rRNA
Rfam family: Bacterial small subunit ribosomal RNA
Source: RNAcentral